Molecule: ribosomal RNA, 253 nt
Filed under: uncultured bacterium
Lineage: Bacteria
Description: partial 16S ribosomal RNA
Rfam family: Bacterial small subunit ribosomal RNA
Source: RNAcentral
UACGUAGGGUGCGAGCGUUAAUCGGAAUUACUGGGCGUAAAGCGUGCGCAGGCGGUUUUGUAAGCCAGAUGUGAAAUCCCCGGGCUUAACCUGGGAAUGGCAUUUGGGACUGCAAGGCUCGAGUGCGGCAGAGGAGACUGGAAUUCCUGGUGUAGCAGUGAAAUGCGUAGAUAUCAGGAGGAACACCGAUGGCGAAGGCAGGUCUCUGGGCAUUAACUGACGCUGAGGAGCGAAAGCAUGGGGAGCGAACAGG